RNAcentral lists this ribosomal RNA (445 nucleotides) under uncultured bacterium. RNAcentral describes it as "partial 16S ribosomal RNA". It matches the Rfam family "Bacterial small subunit ribosomal RNA", at positions 354 to 796 of the family's 1533-position model. The record is from RNAcentral.
GUGAGGAAUAUUGGUCAAUGGGCGAGAGCCUGAACCAGCCAAGUCGCGUGAAGGAAGAAGGAUCUAUGGUUCGUAAACUUCUUUUGCAGGGGAAUAAAGUGCGGGACGUGUCCUGUUUUGUAUGUACCCUGAGAAUAAGGAUCGGCUAACUCCGUGCCAGCAGCCGCGGUAAUACGGAGGAUCCGAGCGUUAUCCGGAUUUAUUGGGUUUAAAGGGUGCGUAGGUGGUUUGAUAAGUCAGCGGUGAAAGUGUGCAGCUUAACUGUAAAAAUGCCGUUGAAACUGUCGGACUUGAGUGUAAAUGAGGUAGGCGGAAUGCGUGGUGUAGCGGUGAAAUGCAUAGAUAUCACGCAGAACUCCGAUUGCGAAGGCAGCUUACUAAGCUACAACUGACACUGAAGCACGAAAGCGUGGGGAUCAAACAGGAUUAGAAACCCGAGUAGUCC